Non-coding RNA from Misgurnus anguillicaudatus (oriental weatherfish), 2860 nucleotides. Lineage: Eukaryota; Metazoa; Chordata; Actinopteri; Cypriniformes; Cobitidae. The record is from RefSeq and is a predicted model, not a curated record.
UACUACCCAGUACUAACACUAGCGGUCAGUCUUAAGUGUCUAACAAUUGUUCUUCUCUACAAUUCUUUACUAUGAUUAUAAUCCAGCCCAAUAAGUCCCAUUCUUAGUGAUUCGUUAACGAUGUAACUGGUGCAGCGUCAAUAAACCCCUGUGUUUCUCUGUGAGCUAACACUUGUUAGAUUAAUCAAAGGCUUCUCCAUGGUGAGUUCUCCAUAAGGCUUGUCUCGCUGAACUGACUCGAGUCUGUACAGUCGGGGUGCUGUGGUAGCUCGCUCUUUCUGCACCUUAGGCAGCAAUAUGCAGUGUGACCUCUGCCAUCGGGCACUCCAAUCGCUAACCGUGCAAACUGACAUAAAGGCCCUAGUGGCUGUACCAGUUGGUGGGUGACACUUUUCAGUGCGGCCCAGCUGUGUUAGAGGUGUGACUGUUGAGCAGUCGAGGUGGGGAGGGCAGACAGCCCAGCGCUCUUGGCUGCGUGCUCAGGGAAGCGCCUUGUCUGUGGUUUCCACCUGGGUAGCCUUAAAUAGUCAACAAGUGUAGUAAAAGGGAUGCACUUUUCUCCCCUUUGUAGCCACUAGAGGCACCAGAUGUAAGGUAGCAUUCCCUAUCCUUCAAAGGUUGGGCCUAUCUAUCUGUCAGUCUAUCUGUCUCUCUAGCACGACUAACAUGCACAUUAAAGCAAUGCACAAAAAAGAGUCUAGAGGCUCGGCAGCGGUGGUCUGGUUUGGCGCCGACUGUGAUACAAGAGUCUCUAGCAUGACGAACAUGCAGAUUCAAGCAAUGCACAAAAAAGAUGCUAGAGGCUUGGCUGCGGCUCGGCCGCGGUUAGUUGCUAGCAAGACUAACCUGCAGAUUAAAGCAAUGCACAAAAAAGUGCUAGAGGCUCGGCUGUGGUGGUCCGGUUUGGCGCUGACGGUGAUACAAGAGUCUCUAGCAUGAUGACCAUGCAGAUUAAAGCAAUGCACAAAAAAUAUGCUAGAGGCUCGGCCGCAGUUAGUUGCUAGCAUGACUAACAUGCAGAUUAAAGCAAUGCACAAAAAAGAUGCUAGUUAGUUGCUAGCACGACAAACAUGCAGAUUAAAGCAAUGCACAAAAAAGAUGCUAGAGGCUCAGCCGCGGUACUCCAUGACAGCGGCCACGGUUACAGGAGUCUCUAGCAUGACUUACAUGCAGAUUAAAACAAUGCGCGAAAAAUACGCUAGAGGCUCGGCCGUGGUGUUCCAGGAUGGUGCCCACGAUGACGUGAGUCUCUAGCAUGACUGACAUACUGACAAAAAAGAUCUGUGAAGAAGACGCUACAGGCUCAGCCGUGGUACUCCAUCAUGGCGACAAGGGUGACAUGAGGCUCUAGCACACCAUAAAGACUUAAAAGAUCUGCGAAGAAGACGCUACAGGCUCGGCCGUGGUACUCCAUGACGGCGAUCACAGUGACGUGAGUCUAUAGCAUGACUGACAUACUGACUAAAAAGAUCUGCGAAGACGAUGCUACAGACUCGACCGUGGUACUCCAUGACGGCGACCACGGUGAACUGAGUCUCUAGCAUGACUAAAAGAUCUACGAAGAAGAUAGUACAGACUCGGCCAGCAAGACAUACUGACUAAAAGGAUCUGCAAAGGCUCGGCCGUUGUACUCCAUGACGGUGGCCACGGUGACGUGAGACUCUAGCAUGACUGACAUACAGACUUGAAGAUCUGCAGAUAGACGCUACAGGAUCGACAGUGGGUGACCACAGCUGUUGGAGCCUCUGGUGCAACAAUAAUAAACGGUAUGUGGAAAAUCUGUCUAUCCCUCUGUCUGUCUGUCCAUCUGGCUAUGUAUCUGUCUAUCCAUCUGGCUAUCUAUCUGUCUAUCCAUCUGUCCAUCUAUCUAUAUGUCUAUCUGUCUUUUCAUCCUUCCGCCGGUCCAUCCAUCUGUUUUUCUGCCUUUCCGUCUGUCUGUUUGUCUUUCUGUCUGUCCGUCUGUCUAUCUUUCCGUCUGUCCAUCUAUCUAUCUAUCUAUCUAUCUAUCUAUCUAUCUAUCUAUCUGUCUGUCUGUCUGUCUGUCUGUCUGUCUGUCUGUCUGUCUGUCUGUCUGUCUUUUCGUCCGUCCGUCAGUCCAUCCGUCUUUCCGUCUGUCUGUCUUUCUGUCCAUCUAUGAAUCGGUCUGUCUGUGUGUUUGUCUGUCUCUCCAUCUGUCCGUCAGUCCAUCCGUGUUUCUGUCUUUCCGUCUGUCUCUCCGUCCGUCUGUCAGUCCAUCCGUGUUUCUGUCUUGCCUGUGUCUUUCUGUCCGUCUGUCUGUCUUGUUGUCCGUCCGUCCGUCCAUCCAUCUUUCUGUCUGUCUGUCUUUCCGUCCAUCUAUUUAUCAGUCUGUCUGUCUGUUUGUCUGGCUCUCCAUCCGUCCGUCAGUCCAUUCGUGUUUCUGUCUGUCUGCCUGUCUGUCGGUCUUUCUGUCUGUCUGUCUAUUCCAGUAUCCAAACCAGUCAUCGACAGCGAUGUGAGGACAUCAACAGAAAAUAAAAAGAAGAAAACAAGAAGUAAAGCACACUUAAUACGAAUCAAACAACUGCUCGACUGAGGAGUUGAAGAAAAAAAGACAGCUGCACAAUCCUAAAACUGUGAAGGCAGCCUGUCUGCUACAUAACUCGGAGGCACUAUCACCAAGAGCAAAGAUUAAGUUCACCACAUAAUAAGAAGGUCACCUCAUUUUUAUUGGGAGCACUGGCUACAUUGAAGGCCUUGAUAAAAAUGACUUUGUGGCCUGCAAGACAUUACCAGAGCUAACCGGUGUGGCCCUAGCACGGAGUCACCAGAGGAAGAGGGUAAGAAAAAUUAGAAUUAGUUUCUGUUUAAUUUAUUUCUGCAUAAGUAUAAACUGUACUGA